Molecule: ribosomal RNA, 253 nt
Filed under: uncultured bacterium
Lineage: Bacteria
Description: partial 16S ribosomal RNA
Rfam family: Bacterial small subunit ribosomal RNA
Source: RNAcentral
UACGUAGGAGACGAGCGUUGUCCGGAGUUACUGGGCGUAAAGGGUGCGCAGGUGGCGGCGCGCGUGGGGGGUGAAAUCGCCCGGCUUAACUGGGCGGGGGCCUUCCAGACGGCGUGGCUUGAGCAGCGGAGGGGGACGUGGAAUUCUCGGUGUAGCGGUGAAAUGCGUAGAUAUCGGGAGGAACACCUGUGGCGAAAGCGGCUCACUGGACCACAACUGACGCUGAGGCGCGAAAGCUAGGGGAGCAAACAGG